GGGUUGUGAGGUUAAGCGACCAAGCGUACACGGUGGAUGCCCUGGCAGUCAGAGGCGAUGAAGGACGUGCUAAUCUGCGAAAAGCGCCGGCGAGGUGAUAUGAACCCUUGACCCGGCGAUGUCCGAAUGGGGAAACCCAGUGUGACUCGUCACACUAUCAUUAACUGAAUCCAUAGGUUAAUGAGGCGAACCGGGGGAACUGAAACAUCUAAGUACCCCGAGGAAAAGAAAUCAACCGAGAUUCCCCCAGUAGCGGCGAGCGAACGGGGAGGAGCCCAGAGCCUGAAUCAGCAGGUGUGUUAGUGGAAGCGUCUGGAAAGGCGCGCGAUACAGGGUGAGAGCCCCGUACACGAAAAUGCACCUGGUGUGAGCUCGAUGAGUAGGGCGGGACACGUGGUAUCCUGUCUGAAUAUGGGGGGACCAUCCUCCAAGGCUAAAUACUCCUGACUGACCGAUAGUGAACCAGUACCGUGAGGGAAAGGCGAAAAGAACCCCGGCGAGGGGAGUGAAAAAGAACCUGAAACCGUGUACGUACAAGCAGUGGGAGCACAGGUUUACCUGUGUGACUGCGUACCUUUUGUAUAAUGGGUCAGCGACUUAUAUUCUGUAGCAAGGUUAACCGAAUAGGGGAGCCGGAGGGAAACCGAGUCUUAAUUGGGCGUUAAGUUGCAGGGUAUAGACCCGAAACCCGGUGAUCUAGCCAUGGGCAGGUUGAAGGUUGGGUAACACUAACUGGAGGACCGAACCGACUAAUGUUGAAAAAUUAGCGGAUGACCUGUGGCUGGGGGUGAAAGGCCAAUCAAACCGGGAGAUAGCUGGUUCUCCCCGAAAGCUAUUUAGGUAGCGCCUCGUGAACUCAUCUCCGGGGGUAGAGCACUGUUUCGGCUAGGGGGCCAUCCCGGCUUACCAACCCGAUGCAAACUGCGAAUACCGGAGAAUGUUAUCACGGGAGACACACGGCGGGUGCUAACGUCCGUCGUGAAGAGGGAAACAACCCAGACCGCCAGCUAAGGUCCCAAAGUCAUGGUUAAGUGGGAAACGAUGUGGGAAGGCCCAGACAGCCAGGAUGUUGGCUUAGAAGCAGCCAUCAUUUAAAGAAAGCGUAAUAGCUCACUGGUCGAGUCGGCCUGCGCGGAAGAUGUAACGGGGCUAAACCAUGCACCGAAGCUGCGGCAGCGGCACGCAAGUGUUGUUGGGUAGGGGAGCGUUCUGUAAGCCGUUGAAGGUGUGCUGUGAGGCAUGCUGGAGGUAUCAGAAGUGCGAAUGCUGACAUAAGUAACGAUAAAGCGGGUGAAAAGCCCGCUCGCCGGAAGACCAAGGGUUCCUGUCCAACGUUAAUCGGGGCAGGGUGAGUCGACCCCUAAGGCGAGGCCGAAAGGCGUAGUCGAUGGGAAACGGGUUAAUAUUCCCGUACUUGGUGUUACUGCGAAGGGGGGACGGAGAAGGCUAUGUUGGCCGGGCGACGGUUGUCCCGGUUUAAGCGUGUAGGCUGGUUUUCCAGGCAAAUCCGGAAAAUCAAGGCUGAGGCGUGACGACGAGGCACCACGGUGCUGAAGCAACAAAUGCCCUGCUUCCAGGAAAAGCCUCUAAGCGUCAGGUAACAUCAAAUCGUACCCCAAACCGACACAGGUGGUCAGGUAGAGAAUACCAAGGCGCUUGAGAGAACUCGGGUGAAGGAACUAGGCAAAAUGGUGCCGUAACUUCGGGAGAAGGCACGCUGACAUGUAGGUGAAGCGGUUUACCCGUGGAGCUGAAGUCAGUCGAAGAUACCAGCUGGCUGCAACUGUUUAUUAAAAACACAGCACUGUGCAAACACGAAAGUGGACGUAUACGGUGUGACGCCUGCCCGGUGCCGGAAGGUUAAUUGAUGGGGUCAGCGCAAGCGAAGCUCCUGAUCGAAGCCCCGGUAAACGGCGGCCGUAACUAUAACGGUCCUAAGGUAGCGAAAUUCCUUGUCGGGUAAGUUCCGACCUGCACGAAUGGCGUAAUGAUGGCCAGGCUGUCUCCACCCGAGACUCAGUGAAAUUGAACUCGCUGUGAAGAUGCAGUGUACCCGCGGCAAGACGGAAAGACCCCGUGAACCUUUACUAUAGCUUGACACUGAACACUGGUCCUUGAUGUGCAGGAUAGGUGGGAGGCUUUGAAGCGUGGACGCCAGUCUGCGUGGAGCCGUCCUUGAAAUACCACCCUUUAAUGGCUGGUGUUCUAACGUGGGCCCCUGACCGGGGUUGCGGACAGUGUCUGGUGGGUAGUUUGACUGGGGCGGUCUCCUCCCAAAGAGUAACGGAGGAGCACGAAGGUUGGCUAAUCCUGGUCGGACAUCAGGAGGUUAGUGCAAUGGCAUAAGCCAGCUUGACUGCGAGCGUGACGGCGCGAGCAGGUGCGAAAGCAGGUCAUAGUGAUCCGGUGGUUCUGAAUGGAAGGGCCAUCGCUCAACGGAUAAAAGGUACUCCGGGGAUAACAGGCUGAUACCGCCCAAGAGUUCAUAUCGACGGCGGUGUUUGGCACCUCGAUGUCGGCUCAUCACAUCCUGGGGCUGAAGUAGGUCCCAAGGGUAUGGCUGUUCGCCAUUUAAAGUGGUACGCGAGCUGGGUUUAGAACGUCGUGAGACAGUUCGGUCCCUAUCUGCCGUGGGCGCUGGAAGAUUGAGGGGGGCUGCUCCUAGUACGAGAGGACCGGAGUGGACGCAUCACUGGUGUUCGGGUUGUCAUGCCAAUGGCACUGCCCGGUAGCUAAAUGCGGAAGAGAUAAGUGCUGAAAGCAUCUAAGCACGAAACUUGCCCCGAGAUGAAUCUUCCCUGAGACUUUAAGUCUCCUGAAGGAACGUUGAAGACGACGACGUUGAUAGGCCGGGUGUGUAAGCGCAGCGAUGCGUUGAGCUAACCGGUACUAAUGAACCGUGAGGCUUAACCUUACAACGCCGAAG
Molecule: ribosomal RNA, 2926 nt
Filed under: Salmonella bongori CFSAN000510
Lineage: Bacteria; Pseudomonadati; Pseudomonadota; Gammaproteobacteria; Enterobacterales; Enterobacteriaceae
Description: 23S ribosomal RNA
Rfam family: Bacterial large subunit ribosomal RNA
Source: RNAcentral